AGUGAACGCUGGCGGUAGGCCUAACACAUGCAAGUCGAACGGCAGCACAGUAAUAUCUUGCUCUUACGUUUUGCGAGUGGCGUACGGGUGAGGAAUACAUCGGAAUCUACUUUUUCUUGGGGGAUAACGUAGGGAAACUUACGCUAAUACCUCAUACGCCCUACGGGUGAAUGCAGUUGAUCUUCUUACCUUUCUCGAUUUAAUGAGUCUAUGUCGGAUUAGCUAGUUGUCUGGGUAAAGUCCCACCAAGGCGACGAUCCGUAGCUGGUCUGAGAGGAUGAUCAGCCAAACUGGAACUGAGACACGGUCCAGACGCCUACGGGAGGAAGCAGUGGGGAAUAUUGGAAAAUGGGCGAAAGCCUGAUACAGAAAGACCGCGUGGGUGAAGAAGGACUUCGGGUUGUAAAGCCCUUUUGUUGGGAAAGAAAAGCAGCAGGUUAAUACCCAGAUGUUCUGACGGUACCCAAAGAAUAAGCACCGGCUAACUACGUG
Molecule: ribosomal RNA, 492 nt
Filed under: uncultured bacterium
Lineage: Bacteria
Description: partial 16S ribosomal RNA
Rfam family: Bacterial small subunit ribosomal RNA
Source: RNAcentral